Molecule: long non-coding RNA, 1809 nt
Organism: Oreochromis niloticus (Nile tilapia)
Lineage: Eukaryota; Metazoa; Chordata; Actinopteri; Cichliformes; Cichlidae
Source: Ensembl
AUGCUUAUCCUCUUCAUAGCAGGACCAAUGAGCUCUCAGGGCUCAUACAGUAGUCACCUUUACCAUGGUGCGUUGAAACUGAGCACCUGUGACCACAGCAAAGGCUUUUCUGUGCAGGAUUCACUCUGCAGGAUAGUCUCAUCCCUCACUAUAACGCCUAUAACCAGACAUUACAUUAUUUUAGUGAUAGGUGCAUUUCUUCAGGCAUGCAGGGGCACUCAAGUACAAUUUUUAAAUGCUUUUCUUAGAUUUAAAAAUGUAUUUAAUUUGAGUUUUGUGUUUUAUGCAAUAAUAAUGUAUUUCGAGUAUAAGAUAAAUCCAAAUAAGUCAAACAAAAGGAGGUUAUUCUGCUACACAGUGCCCCGCCAACAUCAAAGGAGGUAAAGGAUGGUUUGGUAUCUCUGUGUGCCUGUGCCUUCCAAUGUAUAAAACAGCCCGGCUUUCAGCCCCAAGACACAGGCGGGGAGCUGCCGAGGAAAUUUAAUUUCACGACUACCACAUUGCUACCUGGCAGGUAGGGCUGUGGUUCGUGUAUUUUGUAGCUUUUGCCUGCACCUGGUUAUGAGCUGAUCACACCAAACGCCUCUUUAAACCACAGGAUCAGAUAUGGAAAUCCUUGUGCCAAAGAUCCAGGUUUUUGUGAUUCUCUGCACGGCAGCGGAGGGAAAAGCCUCAAACUGUCACUCAAUUAGACAGUGAGAGAAAAAUAAUAAUAAUUUAGGGAUUUAACUACAGAAGGAAGUAAAACAGGUAAACUGUAGUAGAAGUAGUUACUGCUGAGUGACCCUUUAAUUUAAAAAAAAUGGAUUUUUAACUUUAAGCUGUUUUGAGGGCCAAACUUACAAAACAAAUGGAAUAAUUUAGUUUGAGAUUACAUUUCUAAUGGAAUAUGCAUUUUUGAAGGUCUUAUGUAAAGAUACAUUGCACUGCAUAACGGUCCCUCCAGUCAGACAUGGUUGAGUGAAAUUUUAGAGGGGAAAAAGUGCAAAUUUUCACUCGUUACACAUCAUAAGAGAGCUUAGACGCUCUUAAAUUUAUAACUCAUUAAUUGCAAUGCAGUAUUUCUUCUGAAGGUUGUUUUGCAACUUUAUGUUAUUUGGUUUUGUCACUGAAGUAUGUAAUCUUUACAAGUGACAAUAAAAAAAGAACGCGGUUCAGCCCUCGUUUCAUUCACUCACGCAAAAAGUAUGUGACAUCAUUCAGCUGCUGAAUUAGAUCAAGAUGUAGCUCUAAUGACUCGAAAAUACACUUUAUCAGUUUGAUAUGAACAUGAAAUAAUUCAGUUUAGGAUGUACUUUUUGGUUUUGGGUGAUUUGCAUUGUUUUCUCAUCAAUGUCGUUUGGUCUUGGUUGCUCUUUGGCAGUUUGCUCAAACAUUAAAGUUACUGUGGUUAAUUACUGGAGCAAAGGCCCAGAGAGAGAAACUGUGCACCAACUGAAGAUCCUUGGCACUGAACCUCAAGCCCCGAGCUAGUAACCUUGGUGCGCUUUUUGAUCCUGUCUUGAGUUUCACAUCAUAAAAAUCAACAAAAUUGGCUUUUAUCUUCUCAGGAGUGCGGCCAGAUAUUGAAAGGCAGAUGAAUGCUUUUAUCACCAACAGAGUUGACUACUGUAAUGAUUUUUUUUCUUUUCAGGAAAGCUUUGCAAAAGCUGCAAAGAGCAAAAGCAGAUGUUUCAUGGGUUGCCCCUUAGUUUUACAUUUUAAUGUUCUGUAAUUGGCAAUUCGCUCAGGAGAUGCCAGACUUACCCUACUAUUAAUGCUACUUUUAUCCCCAGUUUUACACUAUCUUUUAAUUAUUUUAUGAUUAAC